RNAcentral lists this ribosomal RNA (465 nucleotides) under Vreelandella stevensii. RNAcentral's name for it is "partial 16S ribosomal RNA". It matches the Rfam family "Bacterial small subunit ribosomal RNA", at positions 338 to 795 of the family's 1533-position model. Lineage: Bacteria; Pseudomonadati; Pseudomonadota; Gammaproteobacteria; Oceanospirillales; Halomonadaceae. The record is from RNAcentral.
CCUACGGGGGGCAGCAGUGGGGAAUAUUGGACAAUGGGGGCAACCCUGAUCCAGCCAUGCCGCGUGUGUGAAGAAGGCCCUCGGGUUGUAAAGCACUUUCAGUGAGGAAGAACGCCUGGUGGUUAAUACCCAUCAGGAAAGACAUUACUCACAGAAGAAGCACCGGCUAACUCCGUGCCAGCAGCCGCGGUAAUACGGAGGGUGCGAGCGUUAAUCGGAAUUACUGGGCGUAAAGCGCGCGUAGGUGGCUUGAUAAGCCGGUUGUGAAAGCCCCGGGCUCAACCUGGGAACGGCAUCCGGAACUGUCAAGCUAGAGUGCAGGAGAGGAAGGUAGAAUUCCUGGUGUAGCGGUGAAAUGCGUAGAGAUCGGGAGGAAUACCAGUGGCGAAGGCGGCCUUCUGGACUGACACUGACACUGAGGUGCGAAAGCGUGGGUAGCAAACAGGAUUAGAUACCCUAGUAGUC